RNAcentral lists this long non-coding RNA (11673 nucleotides) under Homo sapiens (human). RNAcentral's name for it is "HSALNT0012205". The record is from RNAcentral. Lineage: Eukaryota; Metazoa; Chordata; Mammalia; Primates; Hominidae.
CCAAAUAAGCCUCCUUUCACAAAAGGAAAAAACUAAAGCCCAGAAAGGUUGAGCCCCUGACUAGCAGCAGAGUGAGGACAGAACAAAGGUGACGAGACUCCCAAGUAAGAGCUCCCUCCACUCCAUCCUCUUUAAGCAGGCACCCGGAGGGGCAGGGAAUCUCUCCGAGAAAAGUGAAUGAGUUGUGGUGCGCAAUGUGACUUCAGGAGUCUGGAAGCUCUUUCAGCUUUCUUCCUGAUUCCUUGCCAUGUUCUACAUGACUGAAAUGGAACUCUAGACAAGAGGGUAAAUCUGGGCAUGGAGAAGUAUUUAAAUCCCUAAAUUAAAGCUAUAUUUUAUUGUAUUUUAAUUGAUGUCACCAUUCAUGGAGAAUGAACCCUGGGCAGGCAGCAGCAACUCAGUCACCUGCCUUGUUUUAUACUUUAUGUUCUAACAUUUAAGUGAGACUAAGUCUUCUUUUCCAGCAGAAUGAGAAGCUCCUCCAGGUCAAGGCCUGUGUCACACCCCUCUCCAAUAUCUCUUAUGGCACCCUGAAGAGUACUUGGCACACAUCUUGAAUGGGCUUCCGAAUUCACGUAUGUGAUUUCCCCUCUGGACCGUAAGUACCUUUGAUGUCAAAAGAAUCUCUUACACAAUUUUUGUAAGUUAGUACAAUCAGUGCCUCACGCAGGUCUUGCUCCGUAAAUAAUGGUUAACUCUCAAAUGCUCGGCAGAGCUUCUCACAGCCUCUGCAGGAAAGAAGGGCUAUUCAGACAUGCAGGCUUGCCAGGCAUCUGAGAAAAAGUAGGGCUGCCAGAGCUUCUGAAACCAGAGGCUUAAAAACUGACAUAGCAGUGUGUCUUAUAUGAUAUUUCACACAUAGCAAAACCUCACAUUCUCUUGAGUGAGGAUAGUGUCUGAAAUGACAUCAAUGAGGUCCUUCAGGAAAAACAGGAACAUCCAGAGCUACCACAAGCACCAGGCAGAUCACAAGGGCUAAGAUCACAGUCAUCUAAACACAGGUUAUCUUUCCAAGGAAGGUCCUUGUCAUAACUAAGAGAAAAGAAAAAGUCCAUCAGUUAUGGCACUGGAAUUCGUGGUUGUCUUCAUCAGGCUGUAAGAUAUCAGUCUUGAGCCAAUCAGGACUGCAACUUUUACUUUUCAGGCAAUGCUCUACACAGCCGACCCAGUCAAUGCAGACUGGCAUUACCCACAUUUUCCUAUUGCUCAACUACAGAAUGAGGAGGAUUAUCACGUGUCACCGGCAACUCUCAGCUUCACUGAAACAACUGAAAUGGUAAUGGACCUCACUCAUCAUCCAAAGAGUUCCUUUGGAAAUGUAGGCCAGAUUUACUAGCAAAACUGUGGUUUUCUACUGCCCUUAAGCUGUCCCUCCCACCCACUCCAAAUAACCAAUGAAGAUUUGCUUUUGAAAAUGGGCAAACUCACUGAAAAACUCAUCUACCUAUAGCAAAUGUAAUUAAUUUUUUAAUAUUUCAGUCUCUAACAUUCUUAUACUGGUGAAAGUUAAAAAAGAAAAAUGAAAUGAGAUGUUACAGCAGGCCCAAAGGUUAAGCAGAAAGAAAAGGUCAUAUGGAAAGGAGAUAAAUCCAGGAGAGCUAGGGACCCAAGAGUACAGAUUCAAUCCUGCCACUUCAAUGGGAGAAAAAAAUACGGAUGUCCAGGAAAGGGCAGACAACCUGGUCAUGGUUAGGAGACAGAAUUCACAAGUCAGCACAAAGCCAUCAAUCCUAAUCCAGAAUCAUUUCUAAUAUUUAAGACAACGUACAUGUCAUUCUACACUGCAGUGGCAUCUUAGAUCUUUCAAAAUAUGUAUUACAGCACUUUUAAUUGUAGCCACAAGAACCUUGCCUGUCCUCCCCACUAGACCUGAGGUCCAUCUGGUAAAGGAAUCAAGCCCAUACAUUUCAGCAGCUAACACACAGCAUAGUGCACAGUGGGCACGCAAUAAAUAUUGAAUUCUUUAAGAACUACUUAUGAAGUUUUGAAAAAGAUGACGCCCAAGUAAAAGGAUAAGGCCAGGCCCACUUAACUUCCCCAUGACAGACAUGAGUAUGAAAUGUAAAAGUUCAUUUCUGGGUGGACUUCUGCUUCUGGUCAAGAUGGAGUGACAGGGAUCACAUUUACCUUUCUACCGGAAACAGCUAAUAAAAAACAAAACAAAACAAAACAAAAACACAGAAUGGGCCGGGCGCGGUGGCUCACACCUGUAACCCCAGUACUUUGGGAGGCCGAGACAGGCGGAUCACGAGGUCAGGAGUUCGACUGAAACCCCGUCUCUACUAAAGAUACAAAAAAUUAGCCGGGCGUGGUGGCGGGCACCUGUAGUCCCAGCUACUCCGGAGGCUGAGGCAGGAGAAUGGCGUGAACCUGGGAGGCGGAGCUUGCAGUGAGCCGAGAGCGCGCCACUGCACUCCAGCCUGGGCGACAGAGCGAGGCUCCGUCUCAAAAAAAAAAAAAAAAGAUACAAAAAAUUAGCCAGGCGCGGUAGCUACUCGGGAGGCUGAGGCAGAGAAUUGCUUGAACCCGAGAGGCGGAGGCUGCAGUGAGGCAAGAUUGCGCCACUGCACUCUAGCCUGUGCGACAGGGCAAGACUCCAUCUCAAAAAAGAAAAGAAAAGAAAAAAAAACCCAAAACGACAGAAUAUAUGAAAUGACUGUUUCCAAGAUAUUGGACACCAGGCACAAAGGACGACGAUUCCUGAAAGACAAGGAACUGAACAAGGAGGACCCUACAGCUAACUGGCUUACUGCCUGGAGAGAAUUUCAGGCACAGUGCAGGGGAGGGGCACCCAGGCAGAGUCCAGAGUUCUUCCUAAACUGAAGAGAGGAAGCUGAUAUAUCGUCUGGGGAGGCCAAAGAGGUUCACAGGGCAGAAGAUUAGAGAAGAAAGACUUACACAGAAAAAAAAUUCUGGAGAUCUGAGCAGGGGGCCUCCCCAGCCACCCCACCAAGUCUUCAGCUGAACACCCAUCAGCACACGCAUGUGAGGAAACUACCUGAGGCCAGGGAAAUAAUUACCUGAAAGGACGGCAGAGAACAAUAUUCAGACCUCACACAGGAACAGGAAUAAUUCCUGUUACCAGCAACCAUAAUAGGAAACCUCGUUAUUUCAAGGAAAUUGGGUAGAGUACUCAGAAACAUUUACCUCUGUGGUAAAGAAAAAUAACCCCAGACUUAACGCUGUGCCGGUCCCGCCUAAAAAUGCUUAAAAGCAAGACCCAAAAGGAUCAAACUGUUUCCAAGUAACCAGUGUUCCAGAACAAAGUUCAAGAAUAUUUAAAAGAAUACAAAAAUAUCUAGCACCCAACAAGCUAAGACUCACAAUAUCCAACUGAAAAAUCAUCAGGUGGGUAGGUGCAGUAGCUUAUGUCUAUAAUCCCAGCCCUUUGGGAGGCCGAGGUGGGAGGAUCACUUGAGGCCAGGAGUUCAAAGCCAGCCUGGGCAAUGUAGCAAGACCCCCAUUUCCACAAAAACAAUUUAAAAAAAUCAGCUAGGCAUGGUGGCACAUGCUUGUAGCCCUCGCUACUUGGGAGGCUGAGGCAGGAGGAUCUCUUGAGCCCAGGAGUUUGAGGCUACAGUGAGCUAUGAUCAUACCACUGCACUCCAGCCUGAGCAACAGAGCAAGACCCUGUCUCUUAAAAUAAAUUUUUAAAAAUAACCAGGCACGCAAAGAAGAAAUCAGGACCCAUAAUGAAGAGAAAAAUCAAACUAACUCAGAAAUAACAAGAUAAUUAGUAGAUAAGGACAUUGCAACAGUUGUAACUGUACUCCACAAGAAAUUAGAGAAUGGAUUGAGAAUGUUAAAGAAAAAAAAUUUUUUUAAAGACUUAAAAUUUUUUAAAGACCCAGUGGCUCAUGCCUAUAAUCCCAGCAUUUUGGGAGGCCAAGGUGGGCGGAUCACUUGAGGUCAAGAGUUCGAGACCAGCCUGGCCAACAUGGUAAAAUCCCGUCUCCACUAAAAAUACGAAAAUUACUAAAAUACUAAAAAUUAGCCAAGUGUGGUGGUGGGCACCUGUAAUCCCAGCUACUCAAGAGGCUGAGGGAGGAGAAUCACUUGAAUCCAGGAGGCAGAGGUUGCAGUGAGCAGAGAUUGGACCAUUGCACUACAGCUUGGGUGACAAGAAAACACCGUCUCAAAAAAAAAAAGAAAGAAAGAAAAGAAAAAGACUUAAAUUAGACUUGUAGAAAUGAGUAUUACAAUGACUGAAAUGAAAAGUACACUGGAUAGGGUGCUGUGGCUCAUGCCUGUAAUCCCAGCACUUUGGGAGACUGAGGCGGGCAGAUCACCUGAGUUCAGAAGUUUGAGACCAGCCUCACCAACAUGGUGAAAACUUGUCUCUACUAAAAAUACAAAAACUAGCCAGGCGUGGUGACAUACACCUGUAGUCCCAGCUACUCAGAAGGCUGAGGCAGGAGAAUCGCUUGAACCUGGGAGGUGGAGGCUGUAUUGAGCCAAGAUUGCACGACUGAACUCCACCUGAGUGACAGAGUGAGACUCCGUCUCAAAAACAAACAAACAAAAAAACAAACACUGGAUAGGCUGAACAGGAGAUUAGACACUGUAGAAGAGGUGAGUGUGAACCUGAAGCCAUACCAACAGAAACUAUCCAAAGUGAAACACAGAGAUAAAAAAAGACAAAAAAUGAACAGAGCUAUCAAUUCAGAAGAUGUUCUACAAUUUCUACAAAUGUUCUUAAAGUUGUUCUACAGCUCAGCGAUGGCUCUGUUCAUUCUUUUUGAAGUAGAACAACUUCAAGCAGCUGAUUAUAUAUGCAAUCAGGGCAUCUAGAGGAGGCUGGGCUGGAGACAGAAAAAAAAGUUAAGAUAUAAUAGCCACGGUGGCUCACGCCUGUAAUCCCAGCACUUUGGGAGGCCAAGGCGGGCAGAUCACGAGGUCAGGAGAUCAAGACCAUCCCCGUCUCUACUAAAAAUACAAAAAAUUCGCCGGGCGAGGUGGCGGGCGCCUGUAGUACCAGCUACGCGGGAGGCUGAGGCAGGAGAAUGGCGUGAACCCCAGGGGGCGGUGCCUGCAGUGAGCCGAGAUCGCGCCACUGCACUCCAGCCUGGGCGACAGUGAGACUCCGUUUCAAAAAAAAAAAAAAAAGAUAUAAUAGCCAAAAUUUCCCCAAAUGUGAUGAAAAGGAUAAACCCAGAGAUCCAAGAAGCUCAGAAACCCUAAGCUCAAGAAACACGAUGAAAAAUACACCAAAGCACAUCAUAUCAUAGUCAAAUAAUCUAAAAUCAGCAAUAGAGAAAAAUCUUAAAAGCAUCCACAAAAAAGAUGACAUUACAUACAGAGAAACAAAGAAUGAUAGCCGACUCUUCCUACAAUGCAAGCCAGACAGUGGAGUAACAUAUUUAAAGUACUGGCAAAAAAACAGUCAAGCUGUAAUUCUAUAGCAAGUGAAACUAUUUUUCAAAAAUGCAGGUUUCACAAUGAGAUACCAUCUCAUACUAGAAAGAAUGACUAUUACUAAAACAUCACACACACACACACAAAAACAGAUACUGGUGAGGCUGUGGAGAAAAGGGAGUGUUUAUACACUGUUGGAGGGAAUGUUCAGCCCCUGUGAAAAGCGAUUUGGAGAUUUCUCAAAGAACUUAAAGGGCCGGGCGUGGUGGCUCACGCUUGUAAUCCCAGCACUUUGGGAGGCCGAGGCGGGCGGAUCACGAGGUCAGGAGAUCGAGACUACGGUGAAACCCCGUCUCUACUAAAAAUACAAAAAAUUAGCCGGGCGUGGCGGCGGGCGCCUGUAGUCCCAGCUACUCGGAGAGGCUGAGGCAGGAGAAUGGCGUGAACCCGGGAGGCGGAGCUUGCAGUGAGCCGUGAUCGCGCCACCGCAUUCCAGCCUGGGCAACAGAGGGAGACUCCAUCUCAAAAAAAAAAAAAAAAAAAGGAACUUAAAAGAGAACUAUGAUCUGACCCAGCAAUCCUGUUACUGGGUAUAUAUCCAAAAGAAAACAAAUCAUUCUACCAAAAAGACACAUGCACUAUGUUAAUUAUAGCUCUAUUUACAAUAGCAAAGACAUGGAAUCAACCUAGGUGCCCAUCAGCAGUGGAUUGGAUAAAGAAAAUAUGGUCUAUAUACACCAUGUAAUACUAUGGAGCCAUAAAAUGAAUGAUAUCAUGUCCCUUGCAGCAACAUGGAUGCACAUGGAGGCCAUUACCCUCAGUAAAUUAACACAGAAACAGAAAACCAAAUACCACAUGCUCUCACUUAUAUUGGGAGGUAAACACUGGGUACUCAUGGACAUAAAGAUGGCAACAACAGAAACGGGAUUAUUAGAGGAGGGACGCAGGUGAGUACUGGUAAACUAACUUUUGGGUACUAUGUUCACUACCUGAGUGAUGGGAUCAUUUGUAUCCCAGCAUCGCACAAUAUACCCAGGUAACAAACCUGCACAUGUACCCCUAAAUCUAAAAGUUGAAAAAUGCAACUUUCAAAAAGGAAAAGUUCUGUGUUUCUGCACUUGUCCAUUGCUCCUCAGCAUUCUAUUGUGGGUGUUUCUUUUUGACAGCCACAGGGGACAGACUAUACCAGUGAAAAAGAUCUGAAAGACAGCCUAAGUCCCAUCUUUCACUGUAAAACCAACCAUUCUGGUUUGUAAUUAUCACAGCUCAAAGUGAUCUCCUCUUCCUAAGCAUUAUCCUCACAGCAUUCACAGACACUCCUGGUACUAUAACUAUUUAUAUUUAUAUAUAAAUGUAAACUAUAUGUACAUGUAAACUAUACAUGUAGAACUAUUUACAUAUUUGUCUUCCUCUCAAAUUAUGCUAUAAAUUCUUAAUGGCAGACGCUAUAAUUUGGUAUUACCCAUCAGGCCUAGCACAAGGUCUUAUAUUUAUUAGAUGCUCCACAAACAUCUCUGUAAAAGUCUAUCACAAACUCCUGCUACUAACAUUAUUUCUUUUUCUUAGUAUUUUUUUUAACUCAUGAUAGCUGUUUGUCCUGAACUAACAUUAUUGAUCUGUAUGUAAUCUUCCUUCUAACACGGUUACUGCUGUCUCAGUAAAUAAUGGCUGAAUAGCGUUUAUUCCUAUGCUCUUCCAGCCAGCCAAGACACUGUUAUACACUGGUAUGUGUUCUUAGAUGUUCACACAUGAUGGUGACCUUACUCCUCUCUUUCCCAUUGUAGUUACCAUUAACUUCACGUAGCUAAACAUUGGUAAAGAUGCCCUGAACACGUCGAAGUGUUUAGAGGCACUGAGCAGGGGUAGUCUAUAUAGAAGAGAAAUUCAAAUUUCAAGUGAAGAAAUAAAGGUCUGACUACUGAGAUUUAAGCAGAGUUUACAGAGUUGGGAGGCAGAUAUAAGCAAGAGCAAGGCAAUGAGAGAAGGCAGCGGUGCAGGUAGAACACACAGGAAGAUAAUAUGCAAGUAUCUUGAAAAUUUUCAAAGAACACCACAAAUAAAAUCUAUUAAUAUCACCAUCUAGUAAAAUGCUGAGUAUACAGUAAAUGCUAUUAAGACUUGUUAAAAUAAAAAAAGAAUUUCAGGCUGAGUAUGGUGGUUCAUGCCUGUAAUCCCAGCACAUUGGGAGGCUGAGGUGGGAGGUCACUUGAGUCCACGAGUUCAAGACCAGCCUGGGCAAUAUAGUGAGACCCCGCCCCCAUCGCUACAAAAAGUUUAAAAAUCAGCCAGGCAUGGUGGUACACACCUGUAGUUCUAGCUACUCAGGAAGCUGAGGUAGGAGGAUCACUUGAGCCCAGGAAUUCGAAGCUGCAGUAAGCUAUGAUCAUGCCACUGCACUCUAGUCUGGAAAACAGAGAGAGACCCGGUCUAUAUUUAAAAGAAUAAUAAUAAGAAGAAUCUCAAGGUCAGAAUAAAGAAAGUUAAGGUUGAAAUAGAAGGAAAAUAAAAAUAGUGAAAAGGAAAUAUAUUUAAGAAGACACUUUAGAAAUAGUACUCCUGCUUGAAAGACCCAAAGAAAGCUGAGAGAGGCCACUGGAUCACUUAGACAGGAAAGGUGUCUGAUGAUACAUAGGCCUGAAAAUAAUGAGCCAAUAAGUUAUGGCUCAAUUGCUGUAAUCAAGGCAAAGUAAGAAGAAUAAAUGAAAUAUGAGCAGAGGAUAAAGCUUUGUUGCCAGAAAUAACUGAAAGGCGGAAUAAUCCCUAUAGGAAGGGAAAACCCAAAACCUCUGACACAGUAUUACCGAAGAAUGUUCUAUAAUAUCAAAAUAAUGAAUCAUAUAAAAACAUCUAGUACUAUGUUAGAGAGUCCAGCCAACAGAAGGUAGAGUGAAUGAUAUAUAUAUAUAUAUAUAUAUAUAUAUAUAUAUAUAUAUAUAUAUAUAUAUAUAUAUAUAUAAAGAUGUUAUGUGUUAGUUGUAUAAAUGAUAAUUCAAAUGGAGAGUGUGGGGAGAAGUGAAGCAUGUUUUGUUUCUGGUAAACAAUAACUGGAGGCCAGGCAUGAUGGCUCACACCACACCUGUAAUCCCAGCAUCUUGGGAGGCUGAGGCGGGUGGAUCACCUGAGGUCAGGAGUUCAAGACCCGCCUGACCAAUAUGGUGAAACUCCGUCUCUACUAAAAAUACAAAAAUUAGCUGGGUGUGGUGGCACACACCUGUAGGCCCAGCUACUGAGGAGGCUGAGGCAGAAGAAUUGCUUGAACCCAGGAAGCAGAGGUUGCAGUGAGCCGAGACUGCGCCACUGCACUCCAGCCUGGGUGACAAAGUGAAACGCCGUCUCAAAAAGAAAAAAAAAAAAUAGCUGUGUUGCUCUAAUGUAGCAUGCCUAAGAGGCAGAUUGUUGGGGUGUCCAAUCUUUUGGCUUCCCUGGGGCACACUGGCAGAAAAAUUGUCUUGGGCCACACAUAAAAUACAUUAACACUAACAAUAGCUAAUUAGCUAAAAAAAAAAAAAUCAUACAAAAAAAUCUCAUAAUGUUUUAAGAAAGUUUACGAAUUUGUAUUGGGUUGCAUUCAAAGCCACCCUGGGCCACAUGUGGCCCACGGGCUGUGGGUUGGACAAGCUUCAUUUGGCACAAAGAGAACACGAUCUGGUCACUUCAUAUUGCUAAGGAGUCAGCUAAACGUAUGAUCUAGAAACAGGUCAAAAUUAAGGAAAACUAUGUAAAUAUGCUGUUUCUGUGCUUAACAGUCCAAAAGCCAGUACCCUGAGGAGCCCAGAGCAAAUACAGUCAUUCAGAUGACCUAAUCCUACCCUAGGAUAGGAAGCACAGAAGCCAAGAAGUUUAAGAGUAGCUGGGUGAAAUGUCAGCUUGAUUCUACCAGGAGCAGAUGAGCAUGAAAUUAUUGCCACUUUUGGAAAAAUUUAUUAAUCCCAUGACAGAGUUACUGGCGCAGGAAUAGACUAAUCAAUAGAGCAAAACAGAUCCAGGAAUGGAUGAGGUUUCUUUUAGCACAUGAUAAAGCUAGCAUUUCAAGUUAGUGGUAUAAGAACACUGGAAAAACUGGCUAUUUGGAAAAAAAAUAAAAUAAAAAGCUGAAUUCCUAACUCCCUUCUUAAAAUGCCUAAAUAAAUUCCAUAUAGGGCGAAGAUUUAAAUGUAAAAAAAUUAAAUUAUAAAAAUACUAGAAAUGGCCAGGCACAGUGGCUCACCCCUGUAAUCCUAGCAUUUUGGGAGGCCCAGGUGGGUGGACUGCUUGAGCCCAGGAGUUUGAGACCAGCCUGGGCAACAUAGUGAGACCCUGUCUCUACCAAAAAAGAAAACAAACAAAAAAACAAUAGCCAGGUGUGGUGGCAUAGCAUGAGUUUGUGGUCCCAGCGACUCAGGAGGUUGAGGUGGGAGGAUUGCUUGAGCCUGGGAGUUCGAGGCUGUAGUGAUCUGUGAUGGCACCACUGUACUCCAGCCUGGGUGACAGAGUGGGACCCUGUGUCAAAAAAUGAUACUAGAAGUAUAAGCGAAUAUUUUUAUAACCUUGGAAUGGGAAGACCUUUACAAAAAUGGUACAAAAAUCAGAACUCAUACUUAAGGAUUUACUCUGACUAUGUAAAAAGUUUAAAUUGCAAAACACCAAAGAGAAAGCUGAAAAAAACUGGAAAAAAAUAUUUGUAACAUGACAAAGUAUUAAUAUAGAAAGGGUUUCAAUUAAUAUAAAAUUAUUUGUAACAUGACAAAAUAUUAAUAUAGAAAGGGUUUUCAAAUCAGUAGGAAACAGGCCAAAACCUCAAACAGGUUUUCGGAAAAUAGGGAAAGAACAUGAGCACCCAAUUCAUAGAAGGACAAAGAAAUGGCCAAUAAACAUUUGAAAAGCUAUUUAAUCUCUAAAACAAAAAGAACAGGCCGGUGCAGUGGCUCACACCUGUAAUCCCAGGCUUUGGGAGGCCAAGGCGGGAGGAUCACUUGAGCCUGGGAGUUUGAGACCAGCCUGGGCAACAUGGCAAAACCCUGUCGCCACAAAAAAAAAAAAAAAAAAAAAAAAAAAAAUUAGCCGGGUAUGGUGGUGUGCACCUGUAGUCCCAGCUACUCAGGAGGCUGAGAUGGGAGGGUGGUUUGAGCCCAGGAAGUAGAGGUUGUAGUGAGCCAAGAAAGAAAAAGAAAAAUAUGACAUUUUUGCCUUUCAGACUGGCAAAGAUUAAAAGACUUGACAAAAUGUAUCCAGUGAGGGCAUAGGGACCAGAGCACCUUCUUCUACGGUGGGUGGGAGUACAUAAAUUGCUGCAACUUUUCUGGAGAGCUAUUUGGUGAUGCAAAUAAAAACUGAGAACGUCCGUAUCAUGUGCCUGAGCAAAUCCUAUUCUUAGGAAUUUGUCAUAAGGGGAUAAUCACAUACCUUUAUAAAAGAUGUCAUAUGUUGGGGUGAUUACUGCAGCUAACAACUAUUGAACAUUCCCCACAUGUCAUCUUCUGUGUUAGGUAUCUUACACACAUUAUUAUUUAAUCCACAUAACCCCAUGAGAUAUUACUAUACCUGUAUAUUAUAAAUGAAGAACUGGAGAUUUGUUAAGUAAAUUAUGUUAUGCCAUACAACAAUAUAUCAGGUGCUAUUAAAAAUGUUUCAAGAACAAGGAAAAAAAGAAGAAACGUUUAAAAAAAUCUUAAAAAACCCAAAACUAAAAUGUUUCAGGUAUUUACUGACAUUGAAAGAUACUCAGAGCAUAUUAGUAAAAAGCAGGCUACAAAACAGCAUGUGACAUCAUAUGUGCAUAUUUAUGGUUACAAUGUUAUCAGGGGCCGGGCACAGUGGCUCACACCUAUAAUCCUAGUACUUUGGGAGGAUGAGGCAGAACAAUUGCUUAAGCUCAGGAGUUUGAGACCAGCCUGGGAAACAUAGUGAGACUUUGCCUCCAAAAAACCAACAAUAACAACAACAAUAAAAACUAGCCAGGCAUGGUGGCAAGCACCUGUCGUCCCAGAUACACUGUUUGAGCCCAGGAGGUCAAGGCUACAGUCAGCCAUGAUUGUGCCACUGCACUCUAGUCUGGAUGACAGAGCAAGAUUGUCCCUUAAAAAAGAAAAAAAAAAGGUAUCUGGAAGGAUACCCUUUAAAAUAUCAAUAGCAACUGUCUUUAAGUGGUAUUAUAGAAUUGAUAGGGGUGCACUCUUCUUUAUAGUUUUUCUAGAGUGCAUAAAUUACUCUCAUCCCACCUCCAAUUGGCAGAAAUCAUUUUAAAAAUAAAACUAUAUAAGUAAGCUAUUUUUACUUAAAAAAAAAAGGAAGGAAAGAAAAAGUAUAAAGGAAAGGGUGAUAUAAAAAGUACACAUAGAC